ACUGUGGGCCUGUUCUCUUGGUGAGGAAACUGAGUUAGAGCGGUUAAGUUACUUGUCCAAGGCAGGUCACCCAGCUCUUGAGCAGGAGAGAUGUGUGAAUUGGGUCGUCUGGCUUCAGAGCCCAGGCCCCCAUAUGCACACCCACACCGCCUGCCCUUUUGUGCUGUAUCUCUUUUCCAAGAUAAAGGAGCCCACCGAGGGAUGAGGCAUUCCAGUUUAUAAGAUCCAAUUCAAGGCAGGAGAGGGAGUGGAUAAAUGGGAAUCAAUGUGACAUACUGUAUGUAUUUACAGCUUUGGCGCAUUCGGUUUCUGGACUUGUUGAUCUUAAAAAUAAUACUGUCAGCUAUUUUACUAGCAAGAUGGGCUUAUUCAGGAGUGACAGAGAAUCGCAAUUUAAGACGAGCAAGCGCUGACAAAACCAUAGGCAAGUCUCACAAGGAAGGACAGGAACAUUAUUUUAGGGAGGGGGGAAAGUUGCUGGAGAACUUGUUUUGAAUUGGAAGUCUGUUGGAGAAAAGCAGCGGUUCAGGGUGAUGACAGUUUCUCAUUGGCUAAGUUACAGGGGUAGUGGAUUUCUUAUAGAAGAUUCAAUGUACCUCCUCUGUCAGGGCCUGGAAUUGAUCUUUCUUUCCUGUUGAUGUUUCUUCUUUUGGGGGCUAUAACUGACAGUUCUCCCCCUAACUUCUGCUGCGUGGUAAGGCAACCCCUUUUGGCCUCCCUUUCUAGCCCCCCCCCAAGUCUGCUUUAGUGAGGCUUUUCCCAUUAUUAAUUUUCACAAACUCAAGACUCAAUAUAUCUAACAUCAUAGUCAAUAUUUGCAUUUAAAUGUCUCAUGGGCACGUCGAACGAAAUCCCUGUCUUUGCCCGCAACACCUGCCCACUCCACAGUCUUCCUCCCAUUUGUAGUAAAUGGCAAGUCCAUUCUUUGAAUUGCCCAGGUCAAAAUCCUUGAGGUUACCCUUCACUCCUCUCUCUCUCUCUCAUAUGCCACAGCAAAUCCUGUCAGUUCUACCUUAAAAUAUCUCCGGAAGUGACCACUUCUCACCACCAAUGCUGGUUUCCACCACUCGGGCCUCCCUUCCAUCUUUACCCAUCUAACAACUCAGCCCUAGAAGGGCCCCCUUCUACCUCCCUUUCCUCCCAUCACACCACUCUCUCCCUGACUUGCUCUGCUUGAACCACUCUGGUUUCCCUGGUGUCCCUUGAAUGGACUCUGCACACCCUCCUUUAUGCCUUUGGACCUUCCGGUUCCCCUGCCUGAAACAGUCUUCCCCCAGAUAUCCCUAUGGCUCACUCCUUCACUUCCUUCAGGUUUUUACUCAAACAUUAUUUAUGGAGCACUUUUCUGGCCACAUAUGUUAAAUUGGAUCCCCAUUCCCUGUCCCCUUUAUCCUGCUUUAUUUUCCUCCCCAGCACAUAUCAUCAUCUGACAUGCGAAGUUUACUUGUUUGACUAUCCCUCUAGAAUAUAAGCUCCAUGAGGGCAAGGAUUUCUUUCUGUCAUGAUCACGGAUGGAUUCCCUACAUCUAAGCAGUGCCUGGCACAGAGGAUACCAUUUCUACCAUAUGGGCUGACACGUGAGCUUUUGAUUGCUUAAUUGAACGAUGCCAACAGCACCCUCCUCCCUCCCCCAGUCAUGACAACCAAGAAUGUCUGCAUGGGGCGCCUGGGUGACUCAGAUGGUUAAGCGUCUGCCUUCGGCUCAGGGCAUGAUACCAGGGUCCUGGGAUCCAGCCCCACAUCGGGCUCCUGGCUCAGCGGGGAGCCUGCUUCUCCCUCUCCCUCUGCCUCUCCCCCUGUUCAUGCUCUCUCUCUGUAUCUCUGUGUCUCAAAUGAAUAAAUAAAAUCUUUAAAAAAUAAAAAUAAAGUAAAAAAAUGCAAGAAUGUCUACAGACAUUGCCCAGUGUUCCUGGGGUUGGGGGGGAGCGCAAAGUUACCCAAAGUUGAAAACCUCCCAUCUAGCCUGACCAAAUGUCACUCUAGAGAUUUUCAAGGGUGGUUUGGCUUUUCUCAGUUUUCACCUUACUUGUUGACUUAAAACUUAAUGCCUGAGAGAAUGAGAUACAAAUGAAUUAGUUGGAAUCCUCAAAUCACUAAAUUCUCACCAUCCCCUGCCAUAAACUUAAUUUUUAGGAUGAGUGAGAGACCACUGUUUUAAAAUUUGUCAUGAAGUUAUGGUAAACAUUAACUCUGGGAUUUGUUCUGAGAUCAGAAUGUGUACAUGUGACCCUGUGGUGCCUCUUACAUCUGUAGCGGAUGGGCCUGGUGGUAGCUGGGUGGUGUCAUGCUACCUCCGAGGCUGCAGAAUCUUUACACAUUUUGAAGAAAAUUUAAGUUUGGGUUCUGUUGUGUAGACCGAAAAGGUCGUAGUUCUGCAAAACUUUUGGACCAUGUCUUCGGCCUGCCUCUUGGUUAACUGGAAAAUGGGAUUACCCCAGCAGUCCUGUUACCGUCGCACAUUCAUUGGGUGUCAGGGCUAGUGGGGAUCUGGUGUCUUUAUACUAUACUGUGGGGGAGUGAGAGUGAGUGGAAGCAAUAGGAACGAAUUGAGGUUAGAGCAGCCAAGCUCAGAUGGCAUUUGGAAGACUGACAGUGUGUAGGAGUGGCAAAGGGGGCAUUUUAGGUACCAAUUCAAUUCCAGCCUAGUUAGUGAGUUCGGGCACAGAGAAUAGGCCAGGGUAGAGGCCUCAUCUCCUCAGAGGAGAUGAGGGCCAUUUGGGGGAUCUGAGAAGGCCUUUCUUCUGUUAUGAAGAUGAGGGAGAUGAGGGCCAUUUGGGGGAUCUGAGAAGGGCCUUUCUUCUGUUCUGAAAACCCCGAGUAAGGCAGGCAGCAGAGGUGGCUGGUGUUAACUUGGCCCAGCCUUGGUAGCUCUCCAUGGUACUUGGAAGCAAUCUGGAGGCAGGUGGGUUUGCGGCGUUAUCUGUUCAGGAUCUAGUGGAGCUGAUGGAGGUGGCAGCAAGCAGCAGGAGUUCUUUGUUUUGUUUGAAGGGAUUUGUUUUUGCCACCUAUGCACAUUAUCCUUCCUGGGUCCCAUGGAGUCUUGUUCAUGGUCGGUGGGACUUUGUACGACUUGGUAGAAAGCCAUAUAGCAUAGGGCCUCAAGAGAAAAGCCCCCUGCCUGUCCACAGUUUGCUUCAUCCUUGGCAAUCUUGACACUCGGUGCUAUUGCCUAGUACUUGUCGUGAGUCUUAGCCCUGAGUGCAUUCCAUACUUGUUUAAGGAGCCUGUUGAGGAAAAUAAAAAGUGACGCCUGGGCCACCCCAUCAGUGAUGGUGGCAGGAGGUCCCCAGUGUCUGUAGUUUUAAAAAGCUCCACAGAUGUUUUACGACAUGAAGCCAGAGUCAAAAACCACAGGCAGAAGUUGCAAACUUGCUUCAGGGGCGAGCAGAUGUGUUUAAUUUGGCCCAUUUAGGGAUUUUUGUUUGUUUUUAAUUAGGAACCAACACUUAAGAAUUCUGAGAUUUCAGGGGGGGAAAUAAUCUAGGUUUCUGAUUUCUCUUGGAAAGCUGGAACCAGCCUCUUCCAGUGGUCUUGUGCAGUAACAAGUCUCCAGGAAUGGAGGAGCAGCUGCUGCCCUUAAGAUAGACUGUGUGCCCCAAAUUAUAACGUUGAAGAUACAGCCAACACAUGAAAUGCAUAAGAGAGAAUAUUAGAUGGAAAUUGUAGACAUACUGGUCACAAAUAUGUAAGAUGUGUCUGCAAAUAAAUAAAAAGACUUGGAAUGCUCAAAAUAAAAUAAAAAGAUAGAUUGUGUGCCCUCCAGGACACCCUGAGUAGUUUGGGACCUGGCCCACUUCCUUCUUUUCCAGUGCCUGCCCGACCUUGGUUGGCAUUUGGGUUUCAGCCCUGUUGUACCACCUCUUAGACGCAGCUGUCUCUGCACGUUAGCGGAGAACCUCAGCGAAAAGCUUUUGACAGUCUGUAAUGGAUUCAGGAUUCACUGUCCCCCGACUGCUAGGCCUCAGCAGCAUAGGGCAGCAGUUCUCCAGGAUGGUCCAGGGGACCCUGGGAGUCCCCAAGACCUUUUCAAGGAGACUGCAAGUUUAAAACUGUUUUCAUAACAAUACAAAGACAUUGUUUGCCCUUUUCACUCCCAUUCUCUUGUGAAUGGACAGUGGAGUUUUAUCCAAAGGUUGUAAUAGUGUGAUAUAGCAACAGAUGGACUGCAGAAGCAGAUAAGUGACUCUAGCUGUCUUGUCUUAAGCCAGACAUUAAAGAGAUUUGUCAAAAUGCAAAAUAAUGCCACUAUUCUCACUAAUUUUUUUUUAAAAAGUUAUUUUUCAUAAAAUUUAUUGUUUAGCUAAGCCUUUGCUAUUAUUAUCCUAAAUAAGUUAACAUUUUGGUGUUUUCUUAGUUUUAAUUUCUAACCUGCUAAGUAUCAACAGCUGUAGCCAACAGUUACAAAAGCUCUUGGAGAGUCUCAAUAAUUUACAAGUGUGGAAAGCGGUCUCGAGACCAAGCAGUUUGAGAACUGCUGGCAUGUGAUAGUGGAGCCCCAUUGUGAGGAGCCUGAGUGGAGCCUGUAGUGAGAUCGGCGCGGGUUUCAUCCCCAUCUCUCCAGCCUGCGGGAGUUUUAACCUGGGACUGACUGGAAGGCUCCGGUUGACUACUCGGGGCACAGUUGGAAAUGCCUGGAUUGAUUGUCCUUGGUUUGUGUCUUACCUCUGCCACUUACUUGUCCAGGAUCUUGGGCAGGAUGUUGGACCUCUGUUCCUGCAUCUGUAGAAUAGGGAGGACGCUAAUCACGUCUGAAGGUCAUGUUCAGAGAGAACAUUUGUCGGAUAAUUGACCCACUGGCAGGUGCAGAUAUACUGUCAGUUACUAGUGGAUGUUACUCUUCUGAUUG
Molecule: long non-coding RNA, 4846 nt
Organism: Mirounga angustirostris (Northern elephant seal)
Lineage: Eukaryota; Metazoa; Chordata; Mammalia; Carnivora; Phocidae
Exons: 3
Source: RefSeq, a predicted model, not a curated record